RNAcentral lists this ribosomal RNA (1404 nucleotides) under Escherichia coli. RNAcentral describes it as "partial 23S ribosomal RNA". It matches the Rfam family "Bacterial large subunit ribosomal RNA", at positions 1411 to 2798 of the family's 2925-position model. The record is from RNAcentral. Lineage: Bacteria; Pseudomonadati; Pseudomonadota; Gammaproteobacteria; Enterobacterales; Enterobacteriaceae.
GUAGUCGAUGGGAAACAGGUUAAUAUUCCUGUACUUGGUGUUACUGCGAAGGGGGGACGGAGAAGGCUAUGUUGGCCGGGCGACGGUUGUCCCGGUUUAAGCGUGUAGGCUGGUUUUCCAGGCAAAUCCGGAAAACCAAGGCUGAGGCGUGAUGACGAGGCACUACGGUGCUGAAGCGACAAAUGCCCUGCUUCCAGGAAAAGCCUCUAAGCAUCAGGUAACAUCAAAUCGUACCCCAAACCGACACAGGUGGUCAGGUAGAGAAUACCAAGGCGCUUGAGAGAACUCGGGUGAAGGAACUAGGCAAAAUGGUGCCGUAACUUCGGGAGAAGGCACGCUGAUAUGUAGGUGAAGCGACUUGCUCGUGGAGCUGAAAUCAGUCGAAGAUACCAGCUGGCUGCAACUGUUUAUUAAAAACACAGCACUGUGCAAACACGAAAGUGGACGUAUACGGUGUGACGCCUGCCCGGUGCCGGAAGGUUAAUUGAUGGGGUUAGCGGCAACGCGAAGCUCUUGAUCGAAGCCCCGGUAAACGGCGGCCGUAACUAUAACGGUCCUAAGGUAGCGAAAUUCCUUGUCGGGUAAGUUCCGACCUGCACGAAUGGCGUAAUGAUGGCCAGGCUGUCUCCACCCGAGACUCAGUGAAAUUGAACUCGCUGUGAAGAUGCAGUGUACCCGCGGCAAGACGGAAAGACCCCGUGAACCUUUACUAUAGCUUGACACUGAACAUUGAGCCUUGAUGUGUAGGAUAGGUGGGAGGCUUUGAAGUGUGGACGCCAGUCUGCAUGGAGCCGACCUUGAAAUACCACCCUUUAAUGUUUGAUGUUCUAACGUUGGCCCGUAAUCCGGGUUGCGGACAGUGUCUGGUGGGUAGUUUGACUGGGGCGGUCUCCUCCUAAAGAGUAACGGAGGAGCACGAAGGUUGGCUAAUCCUGGUCGGACAUCAGGAGGUUAGUGCAAUGGCAUAAGCCAGCUUGACUGCGAGCGUGACGGCGCGAGCAGGUGCGAAAGCAGGUCAUAGUGAUCCGGUGGUUCUGAAUGGAAGGGCCAUCGCUCAACGGAUAAAAGGUACUCCGGGGAUAACAGGCUGAUACCGCCCAAGAGUUCAUAUCGACGGCGGUGUUUGGCACCUCGAUGUCGGCUCAUCACAUCCUGGGGCUGAAGUAGGUCCCAAGGGUAUGGCUGUUCGCCAUUUAAAGUGGUACGCGAGCUGGGUUUAGAACGUCGUGAGACAGUUCGGUCCCUAUCUGCCGUGGGCGCUGGAGAACUGAGGGGGGCUGCUCCUAGUACGAGAGGACCGGAGUGGACGCAUCACUGGUGUUCGGGUUGUCAUGCCAAUGGCACUGCCCGGUAGCUAAAUGCGGAAGAGAUAAGUGCUGAAAGCAUCUAAGCACGAAACUUGCC